Molecule: ribosomal RNA, 256 nt
Filed under: uncultured bacterium
Lineage: Bacteria
Description: partial 16S ribosomal RNA
Rfam family: Bacterial small subunit ribosomal RNA
Source: RNAcentral
UACAUGGGGUGCAAACGUUGCUCGGAAUUAUUGGGCGUAAAGCGCACGUAGGCGGUUCGUUAAGUCGGAUGUGAAAGCCCUCGGCUCAACUGAGGAAGUGCACCCGAAACUGGCGAGCUUGAGUACGAAAAGAGGAUCGCGGAAUUCCCGGUGUAGAGGUGAAAUUCGUAGAUAUCAGGAGGAACACCGGUGGCGAAGGCGGGUCUCUGGGCAGUAACUGACGCUGAGGAGCGAAAAGCGUGGGGGAGCGAACAGG